UGUUUCGACUAGGGGGUCAUCCCGACUUACCAACUCGAUGCAAACUGCGAAUACCGAAGAAUGUUAUCACGGGAGACACACGGCGGGUGCUAACGUCCGUCGUGAAGAGGGAAACAACCCAGACCGCCAGCUAAGGUCCCAAAGUCAUGGUUAAGUGGGAAACGAAGUGGGAAGGCUCAGACAGCCAGGAUGUUGGCUUAGAAGCAGCCAUCAUUUAAAGAAAGCGUAAUAGCUCACUGGUCGAGUCGGCCCGCGCGGAAGAUGUAACGGGGCUAAACCAUGCACCGAAGCUGCGGCAGCGACACGUAGUGUUGUUGGGUAGGGGAGCGUUCUGUAAGCCUGCGAAGGUGUACUGUGAGGUAUGCUGGAGGUAUCAGAAGUGCGAAUGCUGACAUAAGUAACGAUAAUGCGGGUGAAAAACCCGCACGCCGGAAGACCAAGGGUUCCUGUCCAACGUUAAUCGGGGCAGGGUGAGUCGACCCCUAAGGCGAGGCUGAAAAGCGUAGUCGAUGGGAAACGGGUUAAUAUUCCCGUACUGGUGGUAACUGCGAUGGGGGAACGGAGAAGGCUAGGUUGUCCGGGCGACGGUCGUCCCGGUUCAAGCAGGUAGGCAGAGUGAUUAGGCAAAUCCGGUCACUUAAUGC
This 644-nucleotide ribosomal RNA is filed under the name Proteus mirabilis. Its description in RNAcentral is "partial 23S ribosomal RNA". It matches the Rfam family "Bacterial large subunit ribosomal RNA", at positions 911 to 1556 of the family's 2925-position model. The record is from RNAcentral. Lineage: Bacteria; Pseudomonadati; Pseudomonadota; Gammaproteobacteria; Enterobacterales; Morganellaceae.